This 274-nucleotide ribosomal RNA is filed under the name Salmonella enterica subsp. enterica serovar Saintpaul. RNAcentral's name for it is "partial 16S ribosomal RNA". It matches the Rfam family "Bacterial small subunit ribosomal RNA", at positions 701 to 974 of the family's 1533-position model. Lineage: Bacteria; Pseudomonadati; Pseudomonadota; Gammaproteobacteria; Enterobacterales; Enterobacteriaceae. The record is from RNAcentral.
GAGGAAUACCGGUGGCGAAGGCGGCCCCCUGGACAAAGACUGACGCUCAGGUGCGAAAGCGUGGGGAGCAAACAGGAUUAGAUACCCUGGUAGUCCACGCCGUAAACGAUGUCUACUUGGAGGUUGUGCCCUUGAGGCGUGGCUUCCGGAGCUAACGCGUUAAGUAGACCGCCUGGGGAGUACGGCCGCAAGGUUAAAACUCAAAUGAAUUGACGGGGGCCCGCACAAGCGGUGGAGCAUGUGGUUUAAUUCGAUGCAACGCGAAGAACCUUAC